RNAcentral lists this ribosomal RNA (117 nucleotides) under Kocuria rhizophila. Lineage: Bacteria; Bacillati; Actinomycetota; Actinomycetes; Micrococcales; Micrococcaceae. The record is from RNAcentral.
UCCGGUGGUUAUAGCGUGGGGGAAACGCCGUCCCAUCCGAACCCGGUAGCUAAGACCCACAGCGCUGAUGGUACUGCACUCGGUAGGUCCUGUAGGGAGAGUAAGUCACCGCCGGAA